Long non-coding RNA from Gossypium arboreum, 933 nucleotides. RefSeq lists it as uncharacterized. The transcript has 3 exons. NCBI's taxonomy places the organism in Eukaryota, Viridiplantae, Streptophyta, Magnoliopsida, Malvales, Malvaceae. The record is from RefSeq and is a predicted model, not a curated record.
GUCAUUGAAGUUAGAUUCAAGUUUUAUUCAAGUUACUUCUCAAGUUUUUUUAUAAAACUUUAAGUUCUUUAUUUCCCUCUUUUGUAAAUCUUUCCUUUACUAUUAGUUUCUUUCUGUAACCUUUCAACCGUCUGUCCUUCUUGUAAUUGGAAUAUUAUUGAACUUUGAUUCAAGUUACUUCUCAAGUUUUUUCAGAAACUUUAAGUUCUUUCUUUCCAUCUUUUGUAAAUAUUUCAUUUACUAUUAAUUUCCUUCCGUAAUCUUUCAACUAUUCCUCCUUCCUGUAAUUGGUAUUAGAGCUAUAGUUAACGAUUUCUAGUGAAAUAGUAUCGUAGUGUUCAUUUUGAGGAGAUUGGCUUUUUAAAGUAAGAGAAUUUAGUAGAUAACUGACGGUUUUAGGUAUGGUGAGUAUAGGAGAGUAAAAAGAGCUAGAAACGGGCCAAAAACGGAGAAAAUGAGUCAAUGUGGGAAAUCAACACAGCCUGGACUUCCUCACACGGGUAGUUCACACGCUCGUGUCUAUUUAACAAUUGUAACACGGCUUAAGCCACCUCACACGGGCGUGUCCCUGUUGAGCCUAAGUCUAAUUCUACUCGGAAAAGGCCACUUUUGAGGGUUUUGAAGCAUUCUAAAGUCUAUAUAAACAUCCGAUGAGGCACCUAAGAGACACGCGGAGUAGGAGGCAAGGAAUUACUCGAAGAAAGCCGAUUGAUCCAUCUCAGAAGCCAAAUUCUCCUUCAAGACUGAAGAUCUCCCUUCAAUUUCCUUCAGGGGUUUUUGGGUUUUCUUUAUGUUUUGUUAUUAUUAUUCUUCUGAGAUGUUUCCUUUUACACUUAUGAACCAAAUCCCCUAAAUACCUAAGAGGAAUGAAACCUAAGAUGGAUCUUGUUAUUAUUUUCUAAAUUAUAUGAUAAAUACUUGAUUUGUUCUUAA